Long non-coding RNA from Trachymyrmex cornetzi, 920 nucleotides. RefSeq lists it as uncharacterized. Lineage: Eukaryota; Metazoa; Arthropoda; Insecta; Hymenoptera; Formicidae. The transcript has 3 exons. The record is from RefSeq and is a predicted model, not a curated record.
UGCAUCAUAAGCCGGUUGAAUUCCGGCUCAAUUCAUUCCGGAAAAUUUUUAAGUUUCUGGACUCUCGUUAUUGUAUUGUAUGAGUUUUGGUCUAUGCAUAUAGCUGCAGUAAUAUUAAAUCAGUAUUGUCUGUUGCUGACAAUUUGCAUAAGUACAAAUAAAUCUUGAGUGCAAUUGUUUGAUGUUAAGAUGUUAAGUUUGAUGCCAACACGGAUAUUUAAAGUCCUGCUUAAACAUAAAAGUAUUUUUAUGUUGUAUCAGUUAUAACAUAGUGAUAUAUAAUAACUUCAAGGACAUAUUAAAGUAAGAUAGUACCACUAUCGGAUUUGAUAUGGACGAAGACGAUGAAUAUGAUGUAUAUUUAACGGACAACGAAAGGGUAUCAUCUUCGACUAGCGAUAAGAAAAAGAAGAAAUAUUCUCAGAAAUAUAGAUCUGAAUGGGAAAACCACAACGAAUUUAAAUCGUGGCUUAAAAGAAGUAAUAAAGGUUUAAGUUAUUUUCAUUGUAAAAUAUGUUCAGUAGAUUGCAUUGGUGGAUUGGAUGCAAUUAAAAAGCAUGCCGCAUCUAUAAAACAUAUAAAAACGGUAAAGUCUGUUCAAAUGCCAGUAAUAAAUAUGCAAUUUGUUAAAAAAGCCAAAGAAACAAUGUCCAAAACCAAAGAUUUUGAAUAUAAAAUUGCAUCAUUUAUUACAGAGCAUGAUAUUUCAUUUAAUACUUGUGACCAUUUAACCAAAUUAAUCAAAAGUAUUAAUCCCGAUGCCGAAGCUGUGCAAAAUAUAAAAUGCAAUAGAACUAAAUGUACUCAAUUAAUAAAAGAUGUUAUAGGCCAAAAAGCUUUUGAAGAAAUUAUUGCUAAACUCAAAAUUCACAAAUUUUCGUUGAUAGUAGAUGAAAGCACUGAUCAUAACUGUGUAAAAC